GGAGGGUGCGAGCGUUGUUCGGAAUUACUGGGCGUAAAGCGCGUGUAGGCGGCCUUGCAAGUCAGGCGUGAAAGCCCUCGGCUUAACCGGGGAAGUGCGUCUAAAACUGCUUGGCUUGAGUACGGGAGAGGGAGGCGGAAUUCCCAGUGUAGAGGUGAAAUUCGUAGAUAUUGGGAGGAACACCGGUGGCGAAAGCGGCCUCCUGGACCGAUACUGACGCUGAGACGCGAAAGCGUGGGGAGCAAACAGGAUUAGAUACCCUGGUAGUCCACGCGGUAAACGAUGGGCACUAGGUGUGGGGGGUAUCCACUCCUCCCGUGCCGAAGCUAACGCAUUAAGUGCCCCGCCUGGGGAGUACGGCCGCAAGGUUA
Molecule: ribosomal RNA, 371 nt
Filed under: uncultured bacterium
Lineage: Bacteria
Description: bacterial SSU rRNA
Rfam family: Bacterial small subunit ribosomal RNA
Source: RNAcentral